UGGCUAGUCUCUAUUAUCAAGAUGCUUUCCUUUAAACUCCCUUUUAAUGAGUAAUGUCUUCAAAAUCAUUAUUGCCAAUAUAUACACAUAUAUUUUCAAUGGGUUAUGGCCUCUUUCUUGCAAAAAAUGCAGUCCUGCUCUGUGCAGCAAUCGUCAGGCUUGCUCUAAUCCAUAAAUAUGAAAUUAAGUUCAAUAAUUUGUUUUAUGCAGGACCUAUACCUAUUAUUGCUCUUGGUUUUAUUGCAGUAAUGCUGCCUUUCAGCACUUAUCGAGCAUGGGUCUUCAUGGUUCUGCUCCUGCUUUGUAGCGUCCAUUCACUUCUUGCAGUACCAAUUCAGCCUGGUUCAGAACAGAGUGCAGAGGCAAGCAGCAAACCUAACAUGACAGUGAAGGGUGUAUUUGAAUCUUUCUUAAGCUUCUUCAGACCAAUGACUUGCCGCCUCAGCAAUGAGCGACUUUUAACUCCUUGUCCUUUAGAAGGCCUGAACAUGUCUGAAUGCUCAAAAAUUUACUGCUGUCCUUUCAAAAUUGGCCAGGAUGAGCAGUGCUACAUGCCAGUGAGAGAUGAUGUGCAGCUGGCCAUUCGAGUGAUUUUGCUUACCGGAGGAGGAUUUUUGAUUUUGGGAUUGCUACCAAUCUGUUGCUGUGCCUUUUUACAGAGAAGUCCAUGUAUCAAUCCUUUACAAAAGAUAAGCAAAAAAGUUCAGAAAAUUGCACGGGAAAAAAGAGCAUGUGAUGAAAAGACUCAUGAUGAAGAGAUUCAUCGCCACUUACUGGACUGACGUAAGAAAGAACCAAAAUAAUGAAAAAAAGAAGGCAUAUAGGAACAUCCACCUGAUCCUGAAGAUCAAGCAGAAGACACCAGGAUUAUUUGACUAUCUCCUAGAAAAUGACAUGUUUUAUUUUAACAUUGAAGUAAUACAAAGUUGUUAACCCUUGAUAGUAUUAUUGAUUUUGCAGUAAAAGUUUUUUUCAUUCUAGUUUCUUGCACUCAUUCCUGUAUCCUGUACCAAAAAAACCUGGUAACACCAAAAGGCAAACUGCCUUCAGCAACCCCUGAAUAGUAAAGCCAGUGUUCUUUUCAUACAGUAGUAUCCCUGUAGAGGGAUAUCAAGAUAGCAGUUAUGUGUCCAUCUCAAUUUAGGGGUCAGUCUUGGAUUCAGGGAGUGUUGUGGAGCAUUAAAUUUGUAUUGAGAAGAAGCUUGCUCUGAUUCCAUAUUGGAUGGCCCCACAGCACAGUAGUGCUACUCUUGCUGAGGAGAACAGAUAAUUUUUUAUGAGACUAUACAGGAUUUGUGAAAUCUGUUGUUGGGCAAUUGCUUUAAAGAUAUGCUUGGCAAAAAUACAAAGUACUUAAGGAAAUUGCAAGUGUGCUAUCUCUGGAGUUGUUCUCUCCACUGGGUAUCACUGUAUGACACAACUUCUUUUGAUCUUAGGAUGACUUAUCUCCCAAAAUUCCAAAAUGCAAUUUCUUUCCGUUUCUCUGUAGUGUAACAAAAAUAAAAGAAACAAAUGUGUAACA
This 1522-nucleotide long non-coding RNA is filed under the name Cyanistes caeruleus (blue tit). RNAcentral's name for it is "lncRNA (ENSCCEG00000022281.1)". The record is from RNAcentral. Lineage: Eukaryota; Metazoa; Chordata; Aves; Passeriformes; Paridae.